RNAcentral lists this long non-coding RNA (5279 nucleotides) under Pan troglodytes (chimpanzee). RNAcentral's name for it is "long non-coding RNA NONPTRT011331". Lineage: Eukaryota; Metazoa; Chordata; Mammalia; Primates; Hominidae. The record is from RNAcentral.
UCAAAUCAUCCACUCACCUUGGCCUCCCAAAGUGUUGGGAUUACAGGCCUGAACCACUGCACCCGGCCGACCUAUUCUAUAUUUUCAAGUUAGUAUCACACAGUGACUCCACGUACAUGGAUUUAAUUGAUUAAUUGUAACAUAUGAAUAUCUGGGUUCUGGAAAAAGUUUUCAGAAAGUGUAAAAACACACUAUGGUUUGCUGUCUUCUCCAGACAAACUGAAGAAUAGACCCCAAUCCCCAAACAUUUUCCUGUUAAACAACAUAGCCAAGACAUUCUCUUUCUUCCUAUGUGAUUUUGAAGUGCAGGGCAACCCAAACAAAAGGCAGAAGCAUAAAAAAUGUUAGUUAUUAUUGUAAGGCCUUUAUUUUUUAUGAUAAUUAUACUAACAAGGCCAGAGGUGCUGACACAGUGUGAACAAUUACUAAUAGUAAAAAGAAUAUUUAGAAAAAUUCUGGCUGUACUGAAUGAUCCAAAAUUACAAAGAGUUUAACUUUAAAACUCUUUAAGAUCAAAGACAGAAGAAAGGAAACAGCCAGCUGAGAAAUUAGAACUCAGAUGACAGAAGAGAAAAACAUAUGAUAGAGAGUAGGUAGGAAAAAGGUUCUAAAAGAGGGUAGUGAAAGAAUGAGAAAAAGCUAAUCAAUUAUUGUCAGAAGACAGAGCUAAGACAGGGCCAUUUCAUCUGAUAUGUUAACAAUUGAGGGAUCAACACUGAAGAACAAAUACACUUUUUGGUUAGUAUUCAGUACUUGCAAAAGCAUUAAUAUUGUCAUUCUUAUUAUCUGCUUUCAUCAACUAAAUUGAGAAAACCUUUGCCACACUAAAUUUCCAUAACAUAGACUUGAUCUGUUCCAAGAAAUACCAAGGAAUGGGAAAUAACUUAAAUCUUGAACUACAUGGUGAAUUAUUUUCAAAGAUGGCCACAGUAAUUCUUCCUAUCCCUAUAACUAUACCUCCUGCCAUUUGACUCAGUCAAUCUUUCCACCUAGAGGUGGAGUCUGCCUCCUUCCCCCCUGAAACCAGGAUGACCCUGUGACUUACUUUAAUCAUCCAUCUGAGCUGAGGCCUCAGACAUAUGAAUGAAGGCAUAUUGCCCCCAUUGAUGACUGCACCCCACAGAGCAGACCACAAACCAGCUAAGCCUAGUCUCAACUGCCACAGAAUUAUAAACAAAUAAAGGGCUGUUAUUCAAAAGUUUGUCCAUGAUGACCACAAGCUGACCCCAAGAAUACACCAUGAAGUUUUUUACAUUCCUGGAAAAAAGGAGAAAGAAAAAGCAGAAUGGGGGAUUCUUACGUAUUCAAUAAAUUAUUAUGAGCUUCAUUGACUAGUAAGAUGCAACUGAUUGUAAGAGGCACCAUUACUUUGUAUUCCUUAUAAAGAAAAAACAUUGUCCAGCCAACUAUAACACACUAACAACUAAUUGUAAUACAUAUCCUGAGUUCAACAUAUUAUAAUUUGAAAAAUACGUGCAUCUCAAAUCACUAAAAUACAGUAUUUUGCCAAGUCACUUCAAAUACUCCUUUCUUUCAAUUCCAUAUUCCCUAUACUGAAAGCCUCGUAGUGAGUAUUAUUUGUGAAAUGUUUCUUCUGCAUUCUUGCUUGUCCACAAUUUUACCGCUUUUCUUUUGUUUCUGAACAAGUGGUUUAAAACAAAAGCAGCAGAUAGAAAAUUAAUACUACGCUCUUUUAUGAUGCUGGAUAAGAGAUGGCUACAGUACCUAAAUUAAAAUCAGUAAUAAAAAUUGUCUUUAGCUUUUCUGACUUGAUUCAGUACCUUCAGACUAAAAGCACAGGGACCAUAAGCAGUAAAAUGACCGUUAAAAUAUUUCCAUUAAUAAAAUCAGUAACAUAAUAAUAUAGCAUAAUAAAAUGCAAUUAUAGAAACUACUGACUUCAUUUUCCUUUAGGGAAAAAAAAAAAACAACUGAAAGGCAACCAGAGAUUAAUAGAAGCACAUGCCACUAAAGUUCUCCUUUUUCUUACUUAUAAUCUAAUGAAGCUCAUUUUAACAAAACAAGUCAGUUGUACCCAAAGAAAAAUAGUUAAAUGUUCCAUUAUUUUCACAUGCCAUGUGCUGAGAUUAGUAAACCUAAUCCAUUCCAUGGAUCAUGAAAAUAAAAGCUAUACCAUUACCAGAAAAACAAAAAAACCCACCCUGCAUGGCCCUUUGGGAUAACAUGAAAACACUUUUAUCUAUAUAUCAAGACAUCUGACCCAUCAUGAAAUGAAUUAUUUGUAACAAAUCACUUUCAUUUGAACACCUCUAUUAACUACACCUCUUCCUUAACAAAAAUGACUUUUUAAAUAUAAAAUAGUAAAGCAUGAAUCUAUGUUUUUUAUUUGUUUUUAGAGACAGGGUCUCAUUCUGUCGCCCAGGCUGGUGAGCAGUGAUGCUAUCACAGCUCACUGUAAUCUCCAACUCCUGGGCUCAAGUGAUUCUCCCUCCUUAGCCUCCCAGUAAGUUAGCUACAGGCGCGAGUCACCAUACCAGGGUAAUUUUUUAAUUUUUGUAGAGAUGGUGCCUUGCUAUGUUGCCCAGGCUGGUCUCUAACUCCUGGCCUCUAGCAAUACUCCUGCCUUGUCCUCCCAGAGUGCUAUGGUGUGAACCACCAUGCUUGGCAAUUUUUACUGCUUUAAAUCAGCACUGCCCAAUAGAUAUAUUAGAUGAUGCAGAUAAUGUAACAUUUCCAUCACAGAAAUAAUGGAAAUACAGGAGCCAGCAGUCACAUGAAUUGACUGAACACCUGAAAUGUGGCUAGUUAACUGAAAAACUAAACUUUUAAUUAAUCUUAAGUUUAAAUAGACACACGUGGCUAAUGGCUACUGUAUUGGACAAUACAGUCUUAAAUUAUCAGUGGGAUAAAAUUUCAGAUAAUAUCCUUCAAAUUAUAUAGUUAGGAACUAACUAUCACCUUUAGUGAGAAAGGAAUGACCUACAGUUACUUAUAUGAUAUAAAAAGCACAACGGUAGCUCAAGGGAUCUUAAGUCUUAAUUCUAACUACUGGCAAACUUUACAUAUUUAUUUCUAACUCCCAGGCUUGGAAAUGUCAAAAAUAAAUAUUCUAGGAUUAGGACAAUAUUCCCCCAACAGAACACAAACAUCUGUAAUAGUAUUCAGCACACAGUAGGUGUUCAUUACAUGUUUUUAAUUCUUUUUCCUUUCUCUUCCCUUAAUGUUCGACCCAGACUAGUCUUGAUGAGUUAGACAAGGUUAACUUAGACAUUUAGGACAUUAACACAGCACUUCAUGAUCUAAAUUAGCUGUCGAUGGAGCAGAUGAACAGAUAAAAAGGCAGGACAAGGGGAUAUAAAAUAUUGUAAAGUACAGUAUAUGUAGCCACAGUCCCAGUAAACACUUCCUUUGAACGUAUCAAUCUAAGAAGAAUUAGAAAACAGAAGUAUAUUCACAUCUUUAUACUGUUCAUAUCUUAGAAGUCAAAUAUAAUCCACCUUUAUCUCUCGUGCCAGUUUCAUUCUUUUCAGCCUACACUUUCGAGCGCAUGAUACAUAAAAAAGUAGCAACUGCUAUCUGGUCAAAAUAACACUACAUUCUGAAAACAUACUACCGAUCCAUCAAUCAAGAGAAAAUGGAUGUCUGAUUAGAAAAAGCUAAAAGAACCAGAUCAAUAUCUAUUACAAAACCCUUUAUUUCAAAAUAUACUCACAGAAACAGUAAGAUUUCUCCAGGAAAUAUUGUCUGCUGUUAUAUUAUCUUUCUUCCAUUGUGCUAGAGUUUCAUUGCUGGGGUUUGGAGGUUCAGUACAUACACAUCUGAGAAAUUAGAGUAGGAUACAUUUUUAAGGAUCCUGAAUUUCAUGCUUACAUUUUACUAAAUCUUUAAAAACCAUUAUGCAUAUUUCUGAAUAUAGAAAGUUGAUUUUAAAGCCUACACAGAAGGAUAAAUAUGCAAGAUAGCCAAGAAACUUCAGAAAAACAAGAGAGAUUUUGAAAAUGCUUAGAGAAUGUUACUUGGAACUAACUCUUUACCUGGUUGGAACAGGGACCUCAGUCAACCCUGUAAGGAGGACAGCAGGAGCCAGUCUCACAAAUGCAAUUAUUGGCCUUUCCAAAAAGUCUACUUCGCUCAAAGCUCCAACUAUACAGAAAUCUAUGAAAAAUACAAAAAUUAGCCAGGCAUGGUGGUACGCACCUGUAAUCCCAGCUACUCAGGAGGCUGAGGUAUAAUGUAACAUUCACAGGUUCGAGGGUUUAGGAGAUGAAUAUCUUGCAGGCUAUCACUCAGCCUACCACUCCCAUGAUAUAUUAUCCUUUUUAAACAUUGCUGGAUACAAUGUAAUUCAGGCUGUUCUUGAACUCCUGACCAGGUGACAAGGCAGGUGAUCUGCCUGCCUCAGCCUCCCAAAGUUCUGGGAUUACAAGCAUGAGCCACCACUCCUGGCAUUGAUUGUAGUUUUGAAGAAUGGACUAAAAUGUUCCUAAUAUUUCACCCUUAAUGAAUUAUCAGUUAUCUUUUAUAUUAAAUAUUAUAUUGAAUAGAUCUUGUAUAUCUUUAGAGAAACAUGAUCUUUGUUGAAACACAGACUAACCUAUUAAUCCUUCCUUUGGGAGGUCGAGGAGGGCGGAUCACGAGGUCAGGAGAUCCAGACCAUCCUAGUUAACACGGUGAAACCCCGUCUCUACUAAAAAUACAAAAAAUAAAUUAGCCAGGCGUGGUGGCGGGCGCCUAUAGUCCAGGAUAUUACAAAGGAUACAAAUGGAGUUCGAGACCAGCCUGACCAACAUGGAGAGACCCUGUCUCUAUUAAAAAUACAAUUAGCCGGGCGUGGUGGCACAUGCCUGUAAUCCCAGCUACUCAGGAGGCCGAGGCAGGAGAAUCACUUGAACCCGGGAAGCAGAGGUUGCAGUGAGCCUAGAUCAUGCCAUUGCACUCCAGCUUGGGCAACAAGAGCAAAACUCUGUCUCAAAAAAAAAAUACUAAAAUAACAAUAAUAAUAAUUAAAGCCAUUGCUGAGGUGCUAAGAUGAUGAUACAGUCGAUAGUCUUAGAAAAGCUGACCAUUUUGUCCAAUCACUGCAAAAUAAGUUAACUCUUUUAGAAAUAAACAUUCAACUAACCUUUGAGAAGUAGCUGUAACAAAAUAACUGAGAAUGUCUGAGGAUUAUCCUAAAAAAUAAAUACUUGUCUUCUUUCAAGCCCCCUUUAACCAUGUAUUGGCAUACAUAUAAAACAUAAGAAUUACAGUUUAGUGUAAUUAAACAUUCCAUGUAUCUUAUCUUUCUUCUUAUCAAAUCUAGUAAUUGGCUCAAUUGC